GAAUAUCAGUGACCUGCCAUGGGAGGAAGGCCAGAGAUGCUUGCUGCGCAGCAGUGGUUCAGAAGUGUUUUAAUGAACUAAGAAGAGAUUUUCCAGAUGGCUGUGUUUGAUGCUGCCAACUAUCCCAGAUGGAGAGGGUUUCCUCACCUGCACCCAAUCUGUAUGUACCUCUCUCCAGUUGUUUCCUGUCAAGCUUGGACUCCUGAAUGAGA
Molecule: long non-coding RNA, 212 nt
Filed under: Homo sapiens (human)
Lineage: Eukaryota; Metazoa; Chordata; Mammalia; Primates; Hominidae
Description: HSALNT0359265
Source: RNAcentral